This 440-nucleotide ribosomal RNA is filed under the name uncultured bacterium. Its description in RNAcentral is "partial 16S ribosomal RNA". It matches the Rfam family "Bacterial small subunit ribosomal RNA", at positions 338 to 795 of the family's 1533-position model. The record is from RNAcentral.
CCUACGGGUGGCAGCAGUGGGGAAUAUUGGACAAUGGGGGAAACCCUGAUGCAGCGACGCCGCGUGAGUGAAGAAGGAUCUCGGUAUGUAAAGCUCUAUUAGCAGGGAAGAAAAUGACGGUACCUGGCUAAGAAGCCCCGGCUAACUACGUGCCAGCAGCCGCGGGAAAACGUAGGGGGCACGCGUUAUCCGGAUUUACUGGGGGGAAAGGGCGUGUAGGCGGCGCUGCAAGUCCGGAGGGAAAGCCCAUGGGCUAACCAUGAUACUGCGGUGGAAACUGUGGAGCUUGAGUGCGGGAGGGGCAGGCGGAAUUCCUAGUGUAGCGGUGAAAUGCGUAGAUAUUAGGAGGAACACCGGCGGCGAAGGCGGCCUGCUGGACCGUAACUGACGUUGAGGCUCGAAAGCGUGGGGAGCAAACAGGAUUAGAUACCCUGGUAGUC